This 429-nucleotide ribosomal RNA is filed under the name Triticum aestivum (bread wheat). RNAcentral describes it as "partial small subunit ribosomal RNA". The record is from RNAcentral. Lineage: Eukaryota; Viridiplantae; Streptophyta; Magnoliopsida; Poales; Poaceae.
GCCCAGGCGACUUACCAGCGGUGUGUGCAAAAUUGCCUUCACAAUCAGAUUGGGCGUAAUGUUCAUGCUUAUGUAGAUGACAUUGUCGUGAAAUCCAGGAACAAGGAGACCUUGCUUGAUGAUUUGAAGGAGACAUUUGACAAUCUCCCGGUCUACAAGAUGAUGCUUAACCCGCCCAAGUGUGUUUUUGGUGUACCAGCAGGCAAGCUCUUGGGCUUUCUGGUUUCUAACAGAGGUAUUGAAGCUAACCCGGAGAAGAUCAAAGCCAUUACUUCGUUGGCUAAACUGGCGUGUGUUAAUGAUGUUCAGCGUCUGGCGGGUCGUAUUGCGGCCCUAAGCCGGUUCAUAAGCCGGUUAGGUGAGAAGGCUAUUCCUCUUUAUCAGAUGAUGAAGAAGACAGAUCAUUUUGUUUGGAGUGAUGCUGCUAAU